Talpa occidentalis (Iberian mole) is the source of this 2334-nucleotide long non-coding RNA. RefSeq lists it as uncharacterized. The transcript has 3 exons. The record is from RefSeq and is a predicted model, not a curated record. Lineage: Eukaryota; Metazoa; Chordata; Mammalia; Eulipotyphla; Talpidae.
CAAUUACACCCUGACAACCUGCUAAUCACCCUAUGUGGCCUGCCAGCCCCUGCACAAAGCCACAAAACCCCAAGAUGAACCAGCCUUCACCCCGACAGACACCAUGCAGGAAAGCCAUUGUGUUGGGUGCUCCCUGAUGAACGCUUGUAGUGACUUUAGACAUUAAGUUGGCAGAAAACCUGGGGCCUUUACAAUCACUCUCCAGACCCUCUUCUCAGGGAAGAGGAAUACGCAGGAAGGACAAAGGGCCACCGUGCACUGUGCAGGAGGCGGGGAUGUACAUAGUGGCGUGCAUCAAGGGGGCUCGAGGCCAAAAAACAUGAAGACAGGUGCCCCCAGCCCACGCUGCCAGCUUCCUGAGAGAAGGGGGCCUGGAAGAAGUCAGGCUUGGCUCUCAGGGGGUCAGGAGGCCCCACAGUUGUCCCCCUUUAGAGUAAAAUAGCGAGGAUGUGAAGCGCAGGCCUCCACACCCCAUCUACCUGCUUGCUGUCAAGGCCCCGGCGGUCCCGCCUCCAGGCCCGGCCCUUCUGUCUGGGUUUCAGGCAGAAAAAAAGCCCGAUGGCCAGGGAGCGCGGCCCAGGCGGCUCCUGACAUUUCCAAGCUCCUGGUCAAACCACACUGCAGAGAUACAAGGAAAACCACCACUUUGGUUCCCAAGUUUUAUUCAAGAACUCAUACAAAAUAUCCCAGGUAAGUGAGUUUAAUCCUCAUCUUCCUCCUCCUCUUCGUCCUGGUUAAUCUGGAAGUAACGUAAUUCGUAACUCUCUUUGCUGUUAGCAACCACGCGCAACCAGUCACGUAGAUUGUUCUUCUUCAAAUAUUUUUUGGUGAGAUAUUUCAAAUACCUGCGGAGAAAGGACACUUGAGAACUCCGAACACGCCGCAGCCGCCACGCCCCAGGCGCCGCCCCUCCCUCCACCCGGGCGCCGGCAGGGCCCAUCCACCCGCCGCUGCAGGGGACCUCCAGCUGCUUCAGCCAAGCUGCCACCGAACAUGCCAACGGGAGGGCCCGGGGCUUCCAUCCCCUCAGACGGCCCCAGGACCAAAGACGGCGAGAUGGGCACCAGACGGGCCCGCAGUCAGCACCGGACGCCCCGAGCCCACCUGCACAGGGCACCACACAGCCGACAGCCUCGCCAACUGCACCCACGCCUGCCCACGCACAGACCAACACCCUGGAUGUCCCACGUAAAGAGUAUCUUCUGCUCAAUUACUCCAUCUCCCGCGGCGCUCAGGGCGGGGACGCAAAGUGCAGGUGGCCUGAACAUCCGUGUUCGACUCGGGCCCAGGCCGAAGCCGGGGCGCAGGGCAACGCGAGAGCGGGAACACCGGAAGGCCUCAAGGAAGUGAAACGACUAUCCUCAAAAAAGGAGCAUUUACUGCGCAGGGGCGCCUGCCCUCGCCACUGUGUGAGGAAGGCCUGGGAGGCCGAGGUGGGGCAUCGGGGCGCUCUGCGUGAGCUCGCCCCGCUCCAUCGCCCUCCUCACAGGAACCGCAGCUCAGUCAGACCGCGCGCGCAGGAGCCGCCACCCUGACGUCGGAAGUCAUCUCGUGAGUGACAGAGUUAAAAAUAAAAGCAAAGGCUUCAUCGCAAGCGAGCGGUCCUAACCCACAUUCAAACGUCCCCACUAUCUGAUUCAGUUGGAUUAAACCCCCCUAAGACUGUGCCAGGGCUGGGCUAGGGCCGGGCAUAAACCCAUCUAAUUCCAGAGUGACUUGGGGUUUUAAUCUCACCCUCGACACAGCUCUGCAACGCGCCGAGGCGGCGAGAAGCGGCCUCAGUCCACUGAGACGAGGGGGCGGGCCACAGGGCAGGCCAGCCCCUCGCUGGGGUGGGAGACGGAGGCGGCAACGCCUUCAUUUUUAAGAGCACGGCCCCAACUAGCCUGAGCGUCCUGACGGCUUAAAAUACUACAGCCUGUGGAAAACCAACCUUUGCACACUACCCCAGGAACCGCCACAGUGACGCUGGCUCGCUCACGGAGUCCUUUCUGGGCACUGUUCCAGAAAGUACCAGAGGCGACCACGAAGCAAACUCCUCAAGGCAGCCACCUCCUGGCCGGGUGAGGGCAACAAAAGCACCUGGAGGCCGCAGGUAACUCCCUCUCCCUACCUUUUGGAGAAAGGCACCUCGGAAGUUACGGUGAUCUUGCUCUUGCUCCGUUCUAUGGUCACGGCCCCUCCACCGAGAUUCCCGGCCUUCCCGUUCACUUUGAUGCGCUCCUGAAGAAACUGCUCCUGUGAAGGCGUCAUGUGGAGCAGUCAGUGGGGAGUGGGGUGGCGGGGUCCCGGCCCCCAGCCCCCCAUAAGGCUUUUUCACACUCUAAACACUGA